UUAAGUUAUUAAGGGCGCACGGUGGAUGCCUUGGCACUAGAAGCCGAUGAAGGACGUUACUAACGACGAUAUGCUUUGGGGAGCUGUAAGUAAGCUUUGAUCCAGAGAUUUCCGAAUGGGGAAACCCAGCAUGAGUUAUGUCAUGUUAUCGAUAUGUGAAUACAUAGCAUAUCAGAAGGCACACCCGGAGAACUGAAACAUCUUAGUACCCGGAGGAAGAGAAAGAAAAUUCGAUUCCCUUAGUAGCGGCGAGCGAAACGGGAAGAGCCCAAACCAACAAGCUUGCUUGUUGGGGUUGUAGGACACUCUAUACGGAGUUACAAAGGACGACAUUAGACGAAUCAUCUGGAAAGAUGAAUCAAAGAAGGUAAUAAUCCUGUAGUCGAAAAUGUUGUCUCUCUUGAGUGGAUCCUGAGUACGACGGAGCACGUGAAAUUCCGUCGGAAUCUGGGAGGACCAUCUCCUAAGGCUAAAUACUCUCUAGUGACCGAUAGUGAACCAGUACCGUGAGGGAAAGGUGAAAAGCACCCCGGAAGGGGAGUGAAAUAGAACCUGAAACCGUGUGCUUACAAGUAGUCAGAGCCCGUUAAUGGGUGAUGGCGUGCCUUUUGUAGAAUGAACCGGCGAGUUACGAUUUGAUGCAAGGUUAAGCAGUAAAUGUGGAGCCGUAGCGAAAGCGAGUCUGAAUAGGGCGUUUAGUAUUUGGUCGUAGACCCGAAACCAGGUGAUCUACCCUUGGUCAGGUUGAAGUUCAGGUAACACUGAAUGGAGGACCGAACCGACUUACGUUGAAAAGUGAGCGGAUGAACUGAGGGUAGCGGAGAAAUUCCAAUCGAACCUGGAGAUAGCUGGUUCUCUCCGAAAUAGCUUUAGGGCUAGCCUCAAGUGAUGAUUAUUGGAGGUAGAGCACUGUUUGGACGAGGGGCCCCUCUCGGGUUACCGAAUUCAGACAAACUCCGAAUGCCAAUUAAUUUAACUUGGGAGUCAGAACAUGGGUGAUAAGGUCCGUGUUCGAAAGGGAAACAGCCCAGACCACCAGCUAAGGUCCCAAAAUAUAUGUUAAGUGGAAAAGGAUGUGGCGUUGCCCAGACAACUAGGAUGUUGGCUUAGAAGCAGCCAUCAUUUAAAGAGUGCGUAAUAGCUCACUAGUCGAGUGACACUGCGCCGAAAAUGUACCGGGGCUAAACAUAUUACCGAAGCUGUGGAUUGUCCUUUGGACAAUGGUAGGAGAGCGUUCUAAGGGCGUUGAAGCAUGAUCGUAAGGACAUGUGGAGCGCUUAGAAGUGAGAAUGCCGGUGUGAGUAGCGAAAGACGGGUGAGAAUCCCGUCCACCGAUUGACUAAGGUUUCCAGAGGAAGGCUCGUCCGCUCUGGGUUAGUCGGGUCCUAAGCUGAGGCCGACAGGCGUAGGCGAUGGAUAACAGGUUGAUAUUCCUGUACCACCUAUAAUCGUUUUAAUCGAUGGGGGGACGCAGUAGGAUAGGCGAAGCGUGCGAUUGGAUUGCACGUCUAAGCAGUAAGGCUGAGUAUUAGGCAAAUCCGGUACUCGUUAAGGCUGAGCUGUGAUGGGGAGAAGACAUUGUGUCUUCGAGUCGUUGAUUUCACACUGCCGAGAAAAGCCUCUAGAUAGAAAAUAGGUGCCCGUACCGCAAACCGACACAGGUAGUCAAGAUGAGAAUUCUAAGGUGAGCGAGCGAACUCUCGUUAAGGAACUCGGCAAAAUGACCCCGUAACUUCGGGAGAAGGGGUGCUCUUUAGGGUUAACGCCCAGAAGAGCCGCAGUGAAUAGGCCCAAGCGACUGUUUAUCAAAAACACAGGUCUCUGCUAAACCGUAAGGUGAUGUAUAGGGGCUGACGCCUGCCCGGUGCUGGAAGGUUAAGAGGAGUGGUUAGCUUCUGCGAAGCUACGAAUCGAAGCCCCAGUAAACGGCGGCCGUAACUAUAACGGUCCUAAGGUAGCGAAAUUCCUUGUCGGGUAAGUUCCGACCCGCACGAAAGGCGUAACGAUUUGGGCACUGUCUCAACGAGAGACUCGGUGAAAUCAUAGUACCUGUGAAGAUGCAGGUUACCCGCGACAGGACGGAAAGACCCCGUGGAGCUUUACUGUAGCCUGAUAUUGAAAUUCGGCACAGCUUGUACAGGAUAGGUAGGAGCCUUUGAAACGUGAGCGCUAGCUUACGUGGAGGCGCUGGUGGGAUACUACCCUAGCUGUGUUGGCUUUCUAACCCGCACCACUUAUCGUGGUGGGAGACAGUGUCAAGCGGGCAGUUUGACUGGGGCGGUCGCCUCCUAAAAGGUAACGGAGGCGCUCAAAGGUUCCCUCAGAAUGGUUGGAAAUCAUUCAUAGAGUGUAAAGGCAUAAGGGAGCUUGACUGCGAGACCUACAAGUCGAGCAGGGUCGAAAGACGGACUUAGUGAUCCGGUGGUUCCGCAUGGAAGGGCCAUCGCUCAACGGAUAAAAGCUACCCCGGGGAUAACAGGCUUAUCUCCCCCAAGAGUUCACAUCGACGGGGAGGUUUGGCACCUCGAUGUCGGCUCAUCGCAUCCUGGGGCUGUAGUCGGUCCCAAGGGUUGGGCUGUUCGCCCAUUAAAGCGGUACGCGAGCUGGGUUCAGAACGUCGUGAGACAGUUCGGUCCCUAUCCGUCGU
This 2647-nucleotide ribosomal RNA is filed under the name Staphylococcus aureus M0559. RNAcentral's name for it is "bacterial LSU rRNA". It matches the Rfam family "Bacterial large subunit ribosomal RNA". The record is from RNAcentral. Lineage: Bacteria; Bacillati; Bacillota; Bacilli; Caryophanales; Staphylococcaceae.